AUUGAACGCUGGCGGCAUGCCUAACACAUGCAAGUCGAGCGGACGAAGGGAGCUUGCUCCUGGCUUCAGCGGCGGACGGGUGGGUAAUUCCUAGGAAGCUGCCUGAUCGUUGGGGCUAACGUCCGUACGCGAGCCCUAAUACAGCAUAGGUCCAGAGGUUGAACGGGGGGGUUCUUCGGACAUCACGCUAUCUGAUGAGCCUAGUUCGGAUUAGCUAGUUGGUUGGGUAAAGGCCUACCAAGGCGACGAUCCGUAACUGGUCUGAGAGGAUGAUCAGUCACACUGGAACUGAGACACGGUCCAGACUCCUACGGGAGGCAGCAGUGGGGAAUAUUGGACAAUGGGCGAAAGCCUGACGCAGCCAUGCCGCGUGUGUGAAGAAGGUCUUCGGAUCGUAAAGCACUGUUAGUUGGGAGGAAGGGCAGUAAGUUAAUACCUUGCUGUUUUGACGUUACCAACAGAAUAAGCACCGGCUAACUACGUG
This 484-nucleotide ribosomal RNA is filed under the name uncultured bacterium. RNAcentral's name for it is "partial 16S ribosomal RNA". It matches the Rfam family "Bacterial small subunit ribosomal RNA", at positions 30 to 507 of the family's 1533-position model. The record is from RNAcentral.